CAGAGGUUGCACGCAGUAACUCGUAUAGAAGAACUAGAAGGCACUGUUAAGCAACUCUCCCUUAGGCCCUGGAGGCUGUUCAAGGCGUUGAAGCUCUUAGUGGACCUGGAGAAACAGCUGAGAUUCCUGCAGCACAUCGUCAGCACCACUUUGAGGCCAGAUAUACUUCCCGCUUGGGGGAGGCUCAUAAAAGGAAGAGGACCAAAUAUGAACAUCUGGUCAUUGGCUGUCGAGAGCAAAGCUGGAAGGCAAAGUGCAUGCCCAAUCGAAGUAGGCUGCAGAGGAUUUGUGGGGCAAUCACUCCACAGAGCCCACUGGGCAUCACAGGAGGAGCAAGGACCAGAGCCAUCAAGAACAUCACCCAGGCAGACAAGAAAGUGUCGAGAUGACUCUGGAUCCGGAGAGAAGAUCCAUGGGGACAAGCAAAGGCUACCUGAACACACACCACGGUGUGUGAUCAACCGUGGUGGGGUCGCCUGGAGGAGGGUGUAUGAUGUGAGACCCGAAAUACCCGAGGAUUCCGGUUACAUCACCGACGAUGUGUUCAGGUGCAUCUUCUGAUGCA
Long non-coding RNA from Solea senegalensis (Senegalese sole), 565 nucleotides. RefSeq lists it as uncharacterized. The transcript has 3 exons. The record is from RefSeq and is a predicted model, not a curated record. NCBI's taxonomy places the organism in Eukaryota, Metazoa, Chordata, Actinopteri, Pleuronectiformes, Soleidae.